CCCACCUGACCCCAUGCCGAACUCAGAAGUGAAACGCCGUAGCGCCGAUGGUAGUGUGGGGUCUCCCCAUGUGAGAGUAGGGAACCGCCAGGU
This 93-nucleotide ribosomal RNA is filed under the name Morganella morganii subsp. morganii. The record is from RNAcentral. Lineage: Bacteria; Pseudomonadati; Pseudomonadota; Gammaproteobacteria; Enterobacterales; Morganellaceae.